ACUUGUACAUUGGAAAUAUUUGUGAAAUGUCAUUUGAAGUGCAUGUUGAAUUGUUUGUGAAAUGUGAGGGCUAGUAGCAGACCUUAACCCAUUGUCAUGCGGAUUUGUUGCUUCGAUAUUGUUUCACUUCUCGCUUCAUUGAUCCAUUUUAAAUUUAGUGCUUGUGUUUUGUUUCAUUUUGUUUAGCUUUUGUAAAUUGAGUAACUUGAAUCAUGUCUUAUUUCUUCGAGCCGUUGAUAUGUUUCUUGGACUUCCGCUUAGUUUCAUUGAAUGGUUCGAAACUGAGU
Molecule: long non-coding RNA, 287 nt
Filed under: Malus domestica (apple)
Lineage: Eukaryota; Viridiplantae; Streptophyta; Magnoliopsida; Rosales; Rosaceae
Description: long non-coding RNA (MDOM_LNC006533)
Source: RNAcentral